RNAcentral lists this ribosomal RNA (757 nucleotides) under uncultured bacterium. Its description in RNAcentral is "bacterial SSU rRNA". It matches the Rfam family "Bacterial small subunit ribosomal RNA", at positions 28 to 776 of the family's 1533-position model. The record is from RNAcentral.
AUUGAACGCUGGCGGCAUGCUUUACACAUGCAAGUCGAACGGCAGCACAGGGAGCUUGCUCCCGGGUGGCGAGUGGCGCACGGGUGAGUAAUACAUCGGAACGUGUCCUAUUGUGGGGGAUAACUGCUCGAAAGGGUGGCUAAUACCGCAUGAGACCUGAGGGUGAAAGCGGGGGAUCGCAAGACCUCGCGCAAUUGGAGCGGCCGAUGCCCGAUUAGCUAGUUGGUGAGGUAAAGGCUCACCAAGGCGACGAUCGGUAGCUGGUCUGAGAGGACGACCAGCCACACUGGGACUGAGACACGGCCCAGACUCCUACGGGAGGCAGCAGUGGGGAAUUUUGGACAAUGGGGGCAACCCUGAUCCAGCCAUGCCGCGUGCAGGAUGAAGGCCUUCGGGUUGUAAACUGCUUUUGUCAGGGACGAAAAGGAUCGUGUUAAUACCAUGGUCUGCUGACGGUACCUGAAGAAUAAGCACCGGCUAACUACGUGCCAGCAGCCGCGGUAAUACGUAGGGUGCAAGCGUUAAUCGGAAUUACUGGGCGUAAAGCGUGCGCAGGCGGUUCUGUAAGACAGAUGUGAAAUCCCCGGGCUCAACCUGGGAAUUGCAUUUGUGACUGCAGGACUAGAGUUCAUCAGAGGGGGGUGGAAUUCCAAGUGUAGCAGUGAAAUGCGUAGAUAUUUGGAAGAACACCAAUGGCGAAGGCAGCCCCCUGGGAUGCGACUGACGCUCAUGCACGAAAGGGUGGGGAGCAAACAGG